Molecule: long non-coding RNA, 2699 nt
Filed under: Nicotiana benthamiana
Lineage: Eukaryota; Viridiplantae; Streptophyta; Magnoliopsida; Solanales; Solanaceae
Description: long non-coding RNA (NBEN_LNC034575)
Source: RNAcentral
AAAAAUUGAGAGUUGAUUUAAAGCCCGAAAUUGGGCCAAGUUAGUGUAAAAUCCAAAACUUUUGACCCCAUCCGCACAGGCCCAAUCCCCAAACCCGAUCCAUUCCCUUUCCUAACCAAACGAUCGUUGAGAACUGGGGGAUCAGUUGUAUUUAAAUAUUGGAACUAGCUCACCCCCACCCCCCACAGUUCAUCUCCCAUUCCCUAAGCCUAACAAAACCCUAAUCAAUCCGCCGCCCCAAAAUCCCCAAACUCUCUCCGGUCGGCGUCCACCUCUAAACCUCCUCUAAACCCGCCAAAAAUCACACCCCAUAACCUUAUACUCCCCCUCAUCUCAUAUAUCGACCCAAUUCAUUCCAGAACACCCAAGAAAACCCUAGGUUUCAGAUCUAAAAAAGGGAAGUUUGACCGGAAGUCGUUGGGUUUGUUCUUUCCUCAGCAUUCAAGUUCAAAGGGGUUUGUUUAGGUUGCUUUCUCAAGUAUUUGGACUCUCAUGAGUCUUUUCCUCCGAAAAAUCUGGUCAGAGCUCCAUGCAAGGCCGGGUACCUUGGGAGAAAAGACCUUUGAGUGGUCAAUUAGAGCGAAUUAGGGCACCAAGCUGUCUCACACUUUUGGUUCAUGCAUCAAUGGUAGAUUUCACCAUUGUUUCUUCGUUUCUCUGGUGAGUCAGUUUCUUUCUCGCCUUCUUUAAUCCGCUAAUUUAAUUGUGUUCAUCUGAAAUUCAUCCCUCUUUUAACCUUCUAGUGAGGUUUUAAUUAGGUUUUGUUUCGGUUGAUUAAUUUGGAAUAAUACUAACCUUUUAGAUUAGUUUCAUAAAUUGCGGGGGUUAAAAUCGUUUAAUUCAGAUUUUCUGCUUUUUCUACUUUUCAUAAAUCACUGAAAUUUGUUUUGGGUUUGGUCACUUCAUUUGAUUGGGCUCUUGGGUCAUCUCUGACCCGGUUCAAAAAAGCCUGGUCAUUCUGGGUUGGGACUUGGGUUUAUUUGACCCAGAUUUGAUUUGUUGAAGGUUAAUAACAUGAAUUCAAAGGGUAAUUAGGGAAUUUGCAUUGAGGAAAUCUUUCUUAACUACUUGGAGAAGUUUCCAGGAAAGUGGGGAAGGGGCUGGCUUAACAAACAUGCUAAAACUUUGGGUCUGAAGUGAAAAAAAUGAAAAUUAGGGAAGGGGUAAAUGGUGAAGUUAAGAAUCAGAUUUUGCUACCCUAAGGUUCUCUAUAUAAGGCAUGUUUUUCAUUGAAAUUGGGGAGAGAUGAGAAUACUGAAAAUUAGAAACGACUGAGAGAUAUACUCUGAAAAAUAUACUAAAAUUUCUGCAUCUUUUUAGGUGGAAAUUUAUCUUGAUUUUGCUCCUUAGUUUGAGUGUUAGUCAGAAUUCAAAAGCUUCAAGGAACUUUUGUGUAUCUGGUUAAAAUGGCCUAAAGAGCUGAACAUUGCUGUGUUUGGAUCUGCUGAUUCACUACUCUUCUGCUACUGUGAAAUAUUCAUUUUCUUUGGUUUCUUUUGAUAUCCAGGUACCCCUUUGGACCUUAUUGAAUGUGAAGCUCAAAAUUGAAGCAUGUAAUCGAAUGUUGAGUUUAAGCAUAGUAUCAGCUGAUUUUGUUUAGAAUCUAGCUUUAUUUUUCUGCAUUAUAUUGAUUUUACUAUAUGAUAUAUGUAUUUGCCUAAGCUGUUGACAAUACCUUUUACGGUUGUAUUAAAAUUUAUUUUAGCAUGUGAGUUUAGUUUUGGAUAAAUUCUUCUUGUCAAGUAUACUAUAUUUGGACUUUAGUUUUGUCAUUUAGUUUUAGCUAGCUAGACUCUUAUUGUCGUAUAUUAAUUUUGGACUGUUAUGGUAUGGACUUAAAUUAGGUGAAUAACAUUUAAGUUAGUGGUGAUGUUGGAUUCUAGGUCAUCUCUCUUCAUUGACCUUAUUUUUUAAAAUUUUGAUUUUUAGUAGUUGAAUGAAUUCAAGAGUUACUCUUGCAUUGUAAUAUAUGAUGUAAAUGUCUGAAUAUUCUAUUGUGGAGGCCCUACAUGUAUGAAAUUAACACCAGUUAGUAAUAGCUUUGAUCUUAAAAAUACAUGUGGCUUGAGUAUUCAUUGAGUGUUAGAGUUCUAAUGUUCUGUAGUUUAGAUUUAAAUUAGAUGGCGAAUCUUUUAUUUGAUUUUGAUGAAAUCAGUUAGUCUAAUGUAGAUUAAGGUUUGUGUUAAUCAAAGUGUAAUAGAUGUGUGAAAUGCAAAAUCCCACCCUUUGGACCGGUCAGACCAAUUAAGUGGCCCAAAUGGGACUGCUGGGCCAAGCCAAGCUCGCAUGUCUUCAGCCAAUACCUUUAAUUCAGGAUUUAUUUCCAGGCCCAAAGCCCUAGAUUUUCUCUUCAGUAGUUGGGGGGCCAUUUGAAUUUGGCGGCUCAAAGGACUAAACAUGUUGGUCCAUUUUAUUAGAAUAACCCACUGCCCAAUCUGCUCAUAGUUAGUAAUUCCUGCUAAAUUCAAAUCUUUGUGAAUGCAAGUGCCUUUGGGCUUAAUUGAAAUGAAUAUUUUAAUUAUUGAGGUGUGCCAUAUCGAACAAGACCUAUAAUUUAUAGCCCUAAAAAAAUUAGAUCAAGACAUCACUUGAGGAAGUAGACUUGAUGUGUGCCAUAAACAAAUUAAACCAUCUAUGGCCCUCACGAAUGUUAUAAUUUAUAUACUAAAAUAAAUCUCGUAGUUUGAUUUAGGCGCACU